Molecule: ribosomal RNA, 394 nt
Filed under: uncultured bacterium
Lineage: Bacteria
Description: partial 16S ribosomal RNA
Rfam family: Bacterial small subunit ribosomal RNA
Source: RNAcentral
CCUACGGGUGGCAGCAGUGAGGAAUAUUGGUCAAUGGACGCAAGUCUGAACCAGCCAAGCCGCGUGAAGGAAGACGGUCCUAUGGGUUGUAAACUGCUUUUGUAGAAGAGCAAAACUCAACACGUGUAUUCUUCCGAGAGUACCCUACGAAAAAGCAUCGGCUAACUCCGUGCCAGCAGCCGCGGUAAUACGGAGGAUCCAAGCGUUAUCCGGAUUUAUUGGGUUUAAAGGGUGCGCAGGCGGAAUAUAAAGUCAGCGGUAAAAGUUCGGGGCUAAACCUGUUCGCGCCGUUGAAACUGGUGUUCUUGAGUGAAGGAGCGGUAGGCGGAAUGUAUGGUGUAGCGGUGAAAUGCAUAGAUAUCAUGCAGAACACCGAUUGCGAAGGCAGCUUACC